UCGGGUUGUAAAGCACUUUUGUCCGGAAAGAAAACCUCCGUCCUAAUACGGUGGGGGGAUGACGGUACCGGAAGAAUAAGCACCGGCUAACUACGUGCCAGCAGCGCGGUAAUCGUAGGGUGCGAGCGUUAAUCGGAAUUACUGGGCGUAAAGCGUGCGCAGGCGGUUCGCUAAGACCGAUGUGAAAUCCCCGGGCUUAACCUGGGAACUGCAUUGGUGACUGGCGGGCUAGAGUAUGGCAGAGGGGGGUAGAAUUCCACGUGUAGCAGUGAAAUGCGUAGAGAUGUGGAGGAAUACCGAUGGCGAAGGCAGCCCCCUGGGCCAAUACUGACGCUCAUGCACGAAAGCGUGGGGAGCAAACAGGAUUAGAUACCCUGGUAGUCCACGCCCUAAACGAUGUCAACUAGUUGUCGGGUCUUCAUUGACUUGGUAACGAAGCUAACGCGUGAAGUUGACCGCCUGGGGAGUACGGUCGCAAGAUUAAAACUCAAAGGAAUUGACGGGGACCCGCACAAGCGGUGGAUGAUGUGGAUUAAUUCGAUGCAACGCGAAAAACCUUACCUACCCUUGACAUGUACGGAACCCUGCCG
This 590-nucleotide ribosomal RNA is filed under the name uncultured Burkholderia sp. RNAcentral describes it as "bacterial SSU rRNA". It matches the Rfam family "Bacterial small subunit ribosomal RNA", at positions 418 to 1003 of the family's 1533-position model. Lineage: Bacteria; Pseudomonadati; Pseudomonadota; Betaproteobacteria; Burkholderiales; Burkholderiaceae. The record is from RNAcentral.